GAUGGACAGGGGGACCAACGCGGACCGUCUGGAAGAUGCAUUCUAGGUGGACGUGCCGCAACUGUCUGUACACCCAGAAGUGCGACUACACUCUCCUCGUGAGGGCGGCUGGAAACAGGUGCUUCGGCAAGGUCAUGUCUCUGCCGAAGGACGCUGGCGAAUGGUAGUCGGGCGAGGAGAAGACAACUCCGCAAGAUCACCCCAAUCCAAGACGGAACCUCCUGCGUCGAAGGAUGCGUGGCCGAGGGGGAGCUCGGUUAUAAGCAGGCGAACUCUGCGCACCUGUCGAACCGCAGUUUCAAUUCAGACUUCCUGCGACAUCUCGGGCUCUGUCGUGGGCGACCUCCUUUCCCGUGCACUCGUGGGAAUCAAAUGAAUAGUUCAAUAGUUACAGAGUCCGAUGCUGCUCUUAAAGCAUCACAACUGCAGAAUCCUAAAGGGGAUUCAGGUCCUGGCUUUGUCAGGUUGAAAACGAAACAGAAAAAGCUGCUUAAAAAGGCCCUUCUAGGGGGCCUAACCAGAGAGAAGGCUUUAAAAAUGGUGCAAGCCAUUCCCGUUGUUAAGGGUCUUCUGCCCGCUCCAUAUAAAAUCAAUGAGUUAGUUAAUCAGACCAAUAGCGUAGUAAAACCUGUUAGAUUAGGCAUUUCCUCGGAGUCUGCUGGGACUCCCCUAACAUCCAAUCAAAUGUCCUCGAUCAAGGAGGCCAUAAUUGACGUUACAGUUGAGCAAUCAGGUAACCUGAAGCCUCAGUUUGAGGGAUGUGCCGCGCGAAAGGGUUGGCUAUUAGUAAUUUGUAGCAACUUAUUAACUGCAGAGUGGCUCAAACGUAAUUUCUCUCAUGUUCGGACCAAAGCAGGUCUAAAACUAAGGCUUAUGGGGGAAGAGGAACUGCCCCGGAAAAACGUGGUCCAAGGCUAUUUUCCCGACAGCCUGUCUACAAGCAGUAAGAAAGUUCUAGAUAUUAUAGAGGCCCAGAACCCGGUGUCCACUUCAGAGUGGAGGGUCAUGAACAGGUUGACCCACGGUGACCUUCUGCAUCUUGUCCUCACUGUUGACAAUGAGUCCCACAAAAAACUGGUCGACCUAGAUGGGAUUAUCUCCUUUCGCUUCGGACGUUUAAAACUUAGUAUGAGGGAACCCUUGAACAAGAGAAAAUCUUUACUGAACGCCAAAGAGGGCACAACAAGUAUAUCGCAAUCCACAGAGACAAGGUGGCCAAAUCCGGCAGUUGUUCCUGAUCGUCAACGAACAGUAGUAGGAAAUGACGGUCCAUGGAACUACAUUAAUUCAUGGAACAGCUUCGAAAACCCUUGGAACAUCUGCAAUAGCCCAUGGAACCAUUGGGAUCAGCAACAUAACUUUAGGUAUGGUUCAACCGAUCCGCGGCAAUGUCCGCGGGGCUCCUUGAGUGUUGAAGAUUGUUGGGUUAGAGCUACGCCUCCUUGGCUUGGAAACAACUGAUUCGAAAUCAAGAACUCCUAGUUAAAAAAUAACAACAACUUUCGUCGCUUUUCAACGAAGAUGUAUAGUACAUCUCUUAUUCAGAGUAAUACAGAUGGCUCGAAGUAAAUAUGAACCUAUGAAUGAUCUUGGCAACGCCGGUUUUGGGUUUUCCGUUGUUUUACCGGGGGUUCACUUUUCGAUUCA
This is an RNA transcript of Drosophila ficusphila, 1647 nucleotides long. RefSeq lists it as uncharacterized. The record is from RefSeq and is a predicted model, not a curated record. NCBI's taxonomy places the organism in Eukaryota, Metazoa, Arthropoda, Insecta, Diptera, Drosophilidae. The transcript is spliced from 3 exons.